AGAGUUUGAUCCUGGCUCAGAACGAACGCUGGCGGCGUGCUUAAUACAUGCAAGUCGUGCGAGAACGUCCGGCUUCGGUUGGACUAGUAAAGCGGCGAACGGGUGAGUAACACGUGAGGAACAUGCCCCUAUGUCUGGGAUAAGCUUGCGAAAGCGGGUCUAAUACCAGAUUCAGUCGGAGAUUGGCAUCUUUUUCCGACUAAAGGCGGUUGAGUCUAUGCCGUCGCAGAGGGAUUGCCUCGCGCUCCAUUAGCUUGAUGGUAGGGUAAUGGCCUGCCAUAGCUGCGAUGGAUAGCCGGCCUGAGAGGGUGACCGGCCACACUGGGACUGAGAUACGGCCCAGACUCCUACGGGAGGCAGCAGUAGGGAAUAUUGCACAAUGGGCGCAAGCCUGAUGCAGCAACGCCGCGUGGACGAUGAAGCUCCUUGGAGUGUAAAGUCCUGUCAGUGGGGACGAACCGCACCGGAAGGAAAUGUCCGGUGCCUGACUGUACCUGCAGAGGAAGUUCCGGCUAACUCCGUGCCAGCAGCCGCGGUAACACGGGGGGAACGAGCGUUGUUCGGAUUUACUGGGCGUAAAGGGCACGUAGGCGGAAAGGCAAGUCAGAUGUGAAAACCCGGGGCUUAACCGCGGGCCUGCAUUUGAAACUGCCUUUCUUGAGUACGGGAGAGGAUGGCGGAAUUCCUGGUGUAGCGGUGAAAUGCGUAGAUAUCAGGAAGAACACCGGUGGCGAAGGCGACCAUCUGGACCGAUACUGACGCUAAGGUGCGAAGGCCGGGGGAGCAAACAGGAUUAGAUACCCUGGUAGUCCCGGCGGUAAACGAUGGGUACUAGGUGUUGGGGGUAUCGACCCCCCCAGUGCCGCAGCUAACGCAUUAAGUACCCCGCCUGGGGAGUACGGCCGCAAGGUUGAAACUCAAAGGAAUUGACGGGGGCCCGCACAAGCGGUGGAGUAUGUGGUUUAAUUCGACGCAACGCGAAGAACCUUACCUGGGCUUGACAUGCUUGGGAAAGCUACAGAGAUGUAGCCUCCUCCUUCGGGAGGCCCUUGCACAGGUGCUGCAUGGCUGUCGUCAGCUCGUGCCGUGAGGUGUUGGGUUAAGUCCCGCAACGAGCGCAACCCUUGUUCCUAGUUGCCAUUCGUUAACUCGAGGAACUCUAGGAAGACUGCCGGCGACAAGCCGGAGGAAGGUGGGGAUGACGUCAAGUCCUCAUGGCCCUUACGUCCAGGGCUACACACGUACUACAAUGGUCGGUACAGAGGGUCGCAAGACCGCAAGGUGGAGCCAAUCCCUAAAACCGGCCUCAGUUCAGAUCGGAGUCUGUAACUCGACUCCGUGAAGUUGGAAUCGCUAGUAAUCGCGCAUCAGCAUGGCGCGGUGAAUACGUUCCCGGGCCUUGUACACACCGCCCGUCAAGCCAUGGGAGCCGGGGGUACCCGAAGCCGUUGAUCUAACCGCAAGGAGGACAACGUCGAAGGUAAAAUCGGUGACUGGGGCUAAGUCGUAACAAGGUAACC
This 1520-nucleotide ribosomal RNA is filed under the name uncultured bacterium. RNAcentral describes it as "bacterial SSU rRNA". It matches the Rfam family "Bacterial small subunit ribosomal RNA". The record is from RNAcentral.